This is a long non-coding RNA of Suricata suricatta (meerkat), 453 nucleotides long. RefSeq lists it as uncharacterized. The transcript is spliced from 2 exons. NCBI's taxonomy places the organism in Eukaryota, Metazoa, Chordata, Mammalia, Carnivora, Herpestidae. The record is from RefSeq and is a predicted model, not a curated record.
UGUGCUCACAGUGGAAGCUGGCCUCAGAAAGCCCGAGGAUCGUCAUGGCUCCGGCAGUUACACAAAGAUGGGAAGAACAACAAGUGGACAGCCACGCAGAAAAUCUUGGAAUAACCCACUGAAUGAUUGGAUACAAUGAGAAGGGAGCUAAGAGGUGCCCAGACCGACAGCAGCCGGCCUCUGAAUGACCCAACAGCUGCCUACAGACAUCUUGGCAUCUUGGUCAAGAUCAACUGAAUGUCACCCAAAUCAGCAGAACCGGCCAUCUGAGCCCAUCCCAAAUGGCUGACCUACACAGCAGUGAGACAAAGAAAUGGUUUGGGGUUUAAAACAUUAAGUGUCAUCGUUAAGUUUUACUCAGAAAAAGCUGCCUGACUUAAUGUCUCUCUUCUCAGUCUUAGCACUGUAAUUUUUAUCACCAUAAAACCUUUUUAAUGCUAUUCUCUUUUCUUA